UACGGAGGGUGCAAGCGUUACCCGGAAUCACUGGGCGUAAAGGGCGCGUAGGCGGUCCUUCAAGUCAGGCGUGAAAGCCCCGGGCUCAACCUGGGAACCGCGCUUGAGACUGGCGGGCUAGAGUUCGGGAGAGGAUGGUGGAAUUCCCAGUGUAGAGGUGAAAUUCGUAGAUAUUGGGAAGAACACCGAUGGCGAAGGCAGCCAUCUGGACCGACACUGACGCUGAGGCGCGAAAGCGUGGGGAGCAAACAGG
Molecule: ribosomal RNA, 253 nt
Filed under: uncultured bacterium
Lineage: Bacteria
Description: partial 16S ribosomal RNA
Rfam family: Bacterial small subunit ribosomal RNA
Source: RNAcentral